This 566-nucleotide ribosomal RNA is filed under the name uncultured bacterium. RNAcentral describes it as "bacterial SSU rRNA". It matches the Rfam family "Bacterial small subunit ribosomal RNA", at positions 338 to 916 of the family's 1533-position model. The record is from RNAcentral.
CCUACGGGAGGCAGCAGUGGGGAAUAUUGCACAAUGGGCGCAAGCCUGAUGCAGCGACGCCGCGUGAGGGAUGACGGCCUUCGGGUUGUAAACCUCUUUCAGUAGGGAAGAAGCGAAAGUGACGGUACCUGCAGAAGAAGCGCCGGCUAACUACGUGCCAGCAGCCGCGGUAAUACGUAGGGCGCAAGCGUUAUCCGGAAUUAUUGGGCGUAAAGAGCUCGUAGGCGGUUUGUCGCGUCUGCCGUGAAAGUCCGGGGCUCAACUCCGGAUCUGCGGUGGGUACGGGCAGACUAGAGUGAUGUAGGGGAGACUGGAAUUCCUGGUGUAGCGGUGAAAUGCGCAGAUAUCAGGAGGAACACCGAUGGCGAAGGCAGGUCUCUGGGCAUUAACUGACGCUGAGGAGCGAAAGCAUGGGGAGCGAACAGGAUUAGAUACCCUGGUAGUCCAUGCCGUAAACGUUGGGCACUAGGUGUGGGGGACAUUCCACGUUUUCCGCGCCGUAGCUAACGCAUUAAGUGCCCCGCUGGGGAGUACGGCCGCAAGGCAAACGUUAAAUGAAUUGACGG